Molecule: long non-coding RNA, 1276 nt
Filed under: Medicago truncatula (barrel medic)
Lineage: Eukaryota; Viridiplantae; Streptophyta; Magnoliopsida; Fabales; Fabaceae
Description: long non-coding RNA (MTRU_LNC006972)
Source: RNAcentral
AACAUUUAAUAUACUAAAAAUUAACAUUAUAAAAUAAUAAUGAUUGAUUAUGUUUGAAACAUGUGAAAUAAUAAAAAUAUAGAUCAAAUUAAACUAAUAUGCACUAUAAAAUAAAAUUAAAAAUUAUAUAUUAAUGUGAUGUUUCAUUCACUUUAAACCCAUCAAGCUUUGAUGUGGGCCCCUCAUCUGAUGAUUUUUUUAUGCAACACACGAAUCACAACUCCUAUUAUCUUUAUCUAUAUAACGACUACACCAAUAUCAAUAUAUUCAUUUGUUUCUACCUCAUGCUUUUUACCUUUAGUAUAUUCAUGAUUUUUAUUUGGCUUAUUGAUGUGUUUAACCCUUGCAAUUAGGCGGCAUUUAAAAAUUCGUCCCUGUAAUUGCUAAUCCUGACAUUUUAACCCUGCAAUUGUUAAUCAUUUAAAAUUUCGUCCCUCUCCCCACUUAAUCACUGCCACGCCACAUGAAAUUCCAAAUUUACCCCUGGGUUUCCAAUUCUUUCUUCAAUAUUUUGUCCUCUUCUUAAGGGCAAAAUUGUAAUUUCAUGUGUGACAGUGAUUGCCACGUCAUCAAAUUAGUGACGUGGCAGUGAUUAAUUUGGUCCAAGGACCAAAUUUUUAAACGAUUAACAAUUGCAGGGUUAAAAUGCCAGGAUUAACAAUUACAGGAACGAAUUUUUUAAAUGCCGCCUUAAUUGCAAGGGCUAAAACACAUCAAUAAGCCUUUUUUAUUUUUUAUUUUCUCCGAAAAAUUUCGGUUGAGCUGCACUACUCAAUUGCUUAUGCAUAUUAUGUAUUUUGACCAACAUCGAGGGACUAAAAUAUGAUGGAAUAUCUUCCUCCUUUGCAUGUGAAGUUCCCUCAUGAGCCAAAGGGUUCUUCUUUGUAGAAUUUAGGUUUAUUGGUUGUUACACUUUCGAAACAUAAACCGUAGAUAAACUAGCAUUUCUUAUGGUGAACACAAUCUUCUUCACGUAGUGGUCUUGGCAAGUUUCCGCAUUGUGGCCAUAUUUUCCACAAUGCCACAACUAAAACACGCAAUAUGUAUGUAAUCCUUCAUGUUCAAUAGUAAAAACAAAACCUAAAACAUUCACAAUGAACUUUUAAAAUGAUUUUUCUUAUCAAGAUCCCUUUUCACACAAAUACGUGCAAAUCGACCACGAAAUUGACUAGAUGUCAAGUGGUCCAUGUUCAGCAUAUUACGUAAUGUCCCUCUAACACGCCAGAGUUUGACAUCUUAUCUUUGAACAAAAAAAAUAAUAAUUUUUAAUUAAAUA